AUGGGUCAAAAGAUGGGAAUUAAACUAUUUGUUUACACUUUAUCCAAGACAACAACCAACUCCAGGAUGCUUACUCAUGAUUACCUCUCAAAUUUCAUGAUUGGUGGGAAUGCAAAGGUUAAAGUAUUUCUACCAGAACACGAUGAUUAUCUAGAUGUGUUCAUGAAGACAGUGAAGGAUGGGCAGUCGACCAUCACAAGGGGUUGGGAUAGAUUCGUCUGUACCUUCUGCAUGGAGGAGGGCACAAUAUGGGCAUUCCGCUUCACCCUGUUCAGCAACCAGAAAGUAUUUUGCCUUUUUCUUUAUCGUCUUUAA
RNAcentral lists this ribosomal RNA (315 nucleotides) under Triticum aestivum (bread wheat). Its description in RNAcentral is "partial small subunit ribosomal RNA". Lineage: Eukaryota; Viridiplantae; Streptophyta; Magnoliopsida; Poales; Poaceae. The record is from RNAcentral.